UACGAGGGGGGCGAGCGUUGUCCGAAUUUAUUGGGCGUAAAGCGCGUGUAGGCGGACCAUCAAGCCUGGGGUGAAAGGUUGGGGCUCAACCCCAAGAGUGCCCUGGGGACUGUUGGUCUGGAGGCAGGCAGAGGAGAGUGGAAUUCCUGGUGUAGCGGUGGAAUGCGUAGAGAUCAGGAAGAACACCCAUGGCGAAGGCAGCUCUCUGGGCCUGUACUGACGCUGAGACGCGAAAGCGUGGGGAGCGAACGGG
RNAcentral lists this ribosomal RNA (253 nucleotides) under uncultured bacterium. RNAcentral's name for it is "partial 16S ribosomal RNA". It matches the Rfam family "Bacterial small subunit ribosomal RNA", at positions 524 to 776 of the family's 1533-position model. The record is from RNAcentral.